RNAcentral lists this ribosomal RNA (238 nucleotides) under uncultured bacterium. RNAcentral describes it as "partial 16S ribosomal RNA". It matches the Rfam family "Bacterial small subunit ribosomal RNA", at positions 15 to 244 of the family's 1533-position model. The record is from RNAcentral.
GAUCAUGGCUCAGGAUGAACGCUAGCUACAGGCUUAACACAUGCAAGUCGAGGGGCAGCAUGUUGGUUGCUUGCAACCAACGGUGGCGACCGGCGCACGGGUGAGUAACGCGUAUCCAACCUUCCGCAUACUCGGGAAUAGCCUUUCGAAAGAAAGAUUAAUGCCCGAUGGUUUCCCGAAUCCGCAUGAGAGCGGGAAUAAGGAUUCAUCGGUAUGCGAUGGGGAUGCGUCCCAUUAG